UGCAACUUUAAAAAUAGAUGAUUUGAAUUGUUGAAGUUCGAAGUGGCGUGGAGCCCACAACGAAUCCCCAUUUUUAAAAUAAAAAAAUGGAGGCUCCCCAUCUUAAGAUCAUAUCCAAUGGAGAUAUCAAAAGAUAAAUGUCAAAUAUUAGUUUGUGGCUAAUGUGACAAUGUGCAAAUUUUCUCUUCCUCCAACUCAUAUGUUUUUUUUGUUAUAAAUGAUAUUUGUAUGAUCAAAUUUUAAAAAGAAAUUAAUUCAAAUAAAAUUUUAAGAUUUAUAAUUGGUACAUUAAUGAGGUCUACACAAUAAAAUAAUUAAAAAAUUAUUUGACAUCACUUUUUUUUAUAUGUCAAAUUUGACAUUUGAAAAUUCAUAUGUCAAUCCACAUAGGAUUGACAUAUCAGUUGUAGUUUAUUCUUACAUUCAAAUUUGAUUACAUGAUAUUUCACUUAAGAUUUGACAUCUCAUUUGGAGAUGGUCUAAAGGUUUUAAAACCCAGAAGGGGCGUUGAGGGAAAGCGAAAUGUGCAGUCCCACAUGAUCCUAAAUUUGAAGGAGCCCCUAAAUUUUUGUCAUCUAACAUCAUGUAAUAAUAUUCUAUAUUUAAAAAAGUUGUUUUUGUUAGCACUUUAAACUGCAAUGUGCACUCCUUAUAAAAGUUUUUUUUUUUUCUAAAUAUAAAAACUUGGAGUACAAUGAGAUAUUUUGAAUGUCAAUAAUAACAUCCUGAAAAGCAACAUUUUCUUAAUUUUAUAACAUAACAAUGUCAUAUAUUCAAGUGAACUUUAAAGUUAGAGGUCUGAUGUUUUUUUUCUUCAUGUUUGGCUGUUUAAGAUAAAAUUGCUUUUGAUUAUUUAGUGAAGGUUAUGUUUGUAGCUCUUUUUACUUAUCAUUGAGGACAUUUGUAAACAUGCAAUCAGUGAGUGUUAAAUUGUUUUAAUUUUUUUUUAAACAAACGAUAUUAUCUACGCAAAGAGGGUGGGAGAGUAGGCUAAGCCUCACUAUCGACUAACAAUAAUGUGGUUCAAAUUCAUCUUUAAUAAGAACCUCUCACUUACAAGUGAAGAGGAAUACUACUAGACUGUAGUACUAACUGAUUUUGUUUUGAUUUAAAUGAAUGUUUUUUAGUAUCAAUACAUUGUCAUACUUUUUUAAAACUUAAAACUAUAUUAAAGAGGAUCC
RNAcentral lists this long non-coding RNA (1181 nucleotides) under Malus domestica (apple). RNAcentral describes it as "long non-coding RNA (MDOM_LNC000822)". The record is from RNAcentral. Lineage: Eukaryota; Viridiplantae; Streptophyta; Magnoliopsida; Rosales; Rosaceae.